Long non-coding RNA from Hippopotamus amphibius kiboko, 1179 nucleotides. RefSeq lists it as uncharacterized. Lineage: Eukaryota; Metazoa; Chordata; Mammalia; Artiodactyla; Hippopotamidae. The record is from RefSeq and is a predicted model, not a curated record. The transcript is spliced from 5 exons.
AUCAGGUGUGCCCAGAUCUGCUUUGGGAUUUAAACCAUCAAGGAGCAAGGAGAACAAAUCCAGCCUUCCACGGUGCCACAGAAGAGAGAGAUACUCCAUCCCACCAGUUGUGUACGAGUGUUCCAGUUCCUUCCCAUCUUCACAAAUACUUGGGCCAGCUGAUGCAUUGCUCAUGCCAGUAAAUCCCAGACCUGGAGAAGCACCUGGAGAGUCUGGAAAAUUCACAUGGUCAGCCUCUCCCUAGACCACUGGAAUCUCCAUCUUAGAAGUUUUCCCUCAUCAACCAUGUGGGUUGCCCUGAGAUACACCUUGAAAGAAAUCACUGCCUGCCAGGGAAAAGAGGAGAAUCCAAAUGCACCAGCUGUGCUGCUUGGCGCUGCAGUCCCCGUGCACUGCUGGAUGGAGUGGCUGCUAGAUGUCACCACUCUGCAAGAAAUCAGGGACGCUUUUGAAAAAAUAUCUAUUGCAAAAAAAAAAAAAGAGAGAGAGAGAGAAAAUAUGUGUAAGUGAAAAAAAAAAGUUUCAGGAAAAAUCAUAUAUAAUCCUACUUUUCAGACAGAGUUGCUGUUAAUAAUUUAGUCAUUUCCUUCCAGACUUUCUACACAUGUAAUGAUAUGUGUUUUUUACACACAUGAGAUCUUCCUAUCUUCAGCUUUGCUGUAACCUGUUUUUCUCAUAGGAACUUUGGCAAUUUCUUCAAAGAACUGAGGCAGGAGAUAGACGGGCCCCCUCAGGGUAAGCAAUUGGAAAUUUCUUCCCUAUGGACCGAUACUCCAAGACAAGACUAGCAGGACAUCUGAGAGAGGUGGCUGGGCCCUGCCCAGAGAGACGAUAACAGACCACGUAUUUCUCAUUCUCGAAGUCAAGGAAACCCUCCCAGCCAGAAAGCUCCUUGGAGGUUGAAAAGGGAGGGCGCACCACCCCAUAGUAAGUGAUAUCAACUACCCACAGGCCUCUUCACUAGAAUCCAUCUUGGCUACGAGAUGCGUAUGCACACAUGGGGGGACCCUGAGAUGUACCAAAUACAGACUCUGAACCAGGCAACGCAAGAUGACUGGUCAAGGGAAACGCGGAAGAAAUGCCCCAUAAAAGUGAUUCAGACUACCACAAGGGCAUGACUCUCUGAAUCUGUCGUGUGUUAUCCACAUGUACUGUAUUCUUUUUCUAAUAAACACUUUA